Long non-coding RNA from Leopardus geoffroyi (Geoffroy's cat), 798 nucleotides. RefSeq lists it as uncharacterized. The record is from RefSeq and is a predicted model, not a curated record. Lineage: Eukaryota; Metazoa; Chordata; Mammalia; Carnivora; Felidae. The transcript has 2 exons.
UUGUUGAUAUGGUGUUAAGAAUUUGGGAAGUAGAAACAUUCUAAAAUCCAAGAGUUAAAUCUCAGUUUUUAGUUAGCUUGAAUCACUGGGCUGCGGCUCAGAAGCACUUCAUACCUUCCCCCCACCACCACCUUUUUUUCUCUCUUUACAUAAGACAGAAUGGAUAGAGGGAUAAGGAGUUGUCUAACUGCCCUUCCGCAGGUCACAUAAUGCUCUGAUAAUAUUGUCUCCCCUGGAUGGUAAACUUUCAUUAUGGAGACAGCUCUGGGCAUAUUUCAAAAUGGUUACUUAUAUUCUAAGUAUAUUUCAAAAUGGGAACUUUUCUCCUCUGUACUAAAUACUAGGGAGAUAUUUCUGCAACUCUCAGUGAGUACCUUGUAAGGUUACUAAAGAUAAAACCCAUAAAAAUUUAGGACCACCACUAGGACUGGACCCCAGGAGUCUCUAUCUGUCAAGCCAGUGCACAUUCAGCCUUCAGAAAUUCAUCAAAAUUACCAGUUAAGUGUUUCUACCAGUUACUGGCUCCAGCCACAUCAGCUCCAGGCCUGCUUGUCUACCUAUUGUCAGCACCUGUGCCUCUUUGCAUAAGACCUUUGGUGUCUUGUCAAAGAAGAAUGCACUACCUAUGUGAAUUCUAAGCCAGAUACUGGGGACAUAGAAAUGCUUCCCCAUCAGCCCAACCAAGGAGUGGCAGAAGCUGGUGCAUAAUCUGGCAGCUCCAUUAUUCAUUUGGUAGACUUAUUCUGAGGUGUUUGUUCCUUACUACCUCCUAAAUAUUAUAACAUGAUUGACAAUUUA